UAGGGAAUCUUCCACAAUGGACGAAAGUCUGAUGGAGCAACGCCGCGUGAGUGAAGAAGGUUUUCGGAUCGUAAAGCUCUGUUGUUGGUGAAGAAGGAUAGAGGCAGUAACUGGUCUUUAUUUGAUGGUAAUCAACCAGAAAGUCACGGCUAACUACGUGCCAG
RNAcentral lists this ribosomal RNA (164 nucleotides) under uncultured bacterium. RNAcentral's name for it is "partial 16S rRNA". It matches the Rfam family "Bacterial small subunit ribosomal RNA", at positions 355 to 511 of the family's 1533-position model. The record is from RNAcentral.